UCUUAGUAGGGUCGGGUUGUAGGUUAAAUUAUUUUUUAUGAAAAUUCGAUUAACCGAAAACCCUAUUGGGUUGACCUGGUUAACAGCCCUACAUCCGAACCAUGGGUCUUUUUUCUAAGUAGAAAUGUUAAUUUUGGACUAGGCUCGUGAAUAGUGUCAAUCUUGAGCCUAGCUGAAACCAGUUGUUUCCAGCCGAUCCUCUUCGAUGUUUAGCGCUAGUUUUUUCCACUACAGGCCCGUGUCCUCUCUGCUUACUGUUCUUAUCAGCUUGCCACAUUUUGAACGGAUUCCAGAUUGGUAUUCGAUUCCUCGAUUUUGCGUCGGGUUCCACUUCUAUACCAUCGAUUCUGUCAAUCGACUUUCAUUUCUAUUGGACUCCACGAUUUUGCGUCUUCCCUAAAAGGGUUUCGCCUUUAUAGCACCGUCAGUUGCAGUCGGGUGGAUUUCGCCGUUGAUUGCAGCCAGGUGGAUUUCAUGGUUGUUCCGUUGGAUUUAUGGGUUGAUCGCUUCCUCGAUUUUGCGUUAUCUCUCGCUUCUUUCUGUUCGUUGGUAUGUUCUUUCUAUGGUUUUCGAUUGUCGGCUUUAUUCUCUGCUUUGAUUCUUUUCUGUUUGAUGUUUCUUUAUAUAUCUUGGUGUUUGUCUUUGAUUGCCUCUUCGAUUGAAUCCUUUACAUUCUUUAUGCUUCGAUUUGUUUUUGACAUAAUCUUAAAAAGGAAUCUAUUUCACCUAAUCCACACAUGAUUUGUAGGUUUAUAUCAAUAUGAUCACCAACUGUUUGAGUUUAUUCCUUAAAGAACUUUUGUUUAUAUAAGUCCUUACAAUUUCAUACUUUAAACAUGACACUGAUAUAUUAUAUGGGAAAAUGAAAGCAUACAAUCUCUCUUCCCUGGCAGAAUUCUUACCUGAAGUAGAGCCUUCAAAGCAACCAACCAACUUUAAUAUUGAAUUCCUUAUUUGAUUCCUAGAAAGUCUUGAUUGAAAAAUACAAUGCUUUAACAAGAAAAAAUAUACAUUUUAACAGAUUAAGGAUUAUGAAAGUAUGAUGCUAUAUUAGCAAAACAAAUGGAAGUACGUUGUUAUACGUUGCAUUUACUCCUUGCUUGGUUAAAUGCAAAAAAUAGUAAUGCAUUUUCAUUUGUUUAUCAAAUUAUACGACCUAACUUUGAUUUUAUUUGUUAAUUUAAUUCAAUGGUUUAUUAACAAAAAAAAUAUUUAGAGUAAAAUUUCAAAACUUAGGAAUUAGAAGCAAAGUAUGAUGUUGUAUUAGACAUAAAAGUGGAAGUUCAUAUUUAUAUCUUUUGUUCGUCACACAACAACUAGCUCAGAAGCUGAUCAAAACCUAUGAAGAAAUGAUCCAGACUAUUAAAGGAUAACCAAUAAACAUAUCACAUUCAAUUUAACGAUGCUUAUGUCUUUAGUUUAUUGUAGUAACCAACUGUUUUGGAAACCUUUUGUAUUGCCCUCAAAUGUAAUGGAAAAAGCUAUGAAUUCGAAGCAAAUCUUACAAAAGACUUACUGGCCCAUGUGGAGCAUGGGUCUCCCACUAGUUCUAAUUAACAAAAGAAAUGAUACAAUAUACUAAAAACGUUUCAAAAUAUUUUUUUAAAAAGCAAUGACAGAAAUUUUAGCUUCUCUCAAAGUUGGGCUAAAAAAAAUUACUGUUUUUGACAAAAACAAGAUGGAUUUCAAAUUUCGGUUAAAACCGGUAAAAAACUAAAAGUUGGAUGUGAUUUUAGAAUUAUUUAAAAAUAAAUAAAAAGAAAAACAACAUAAAGGAGAUGUAGCUGGUGUUGGCGGGUUUCGAACACUCAUCAUCCUUUACAAUAAUAACCAAAACGCUUACCAUUAAGUUUGGAAAGAUUAUAUUAAAAUACAUGCAAACAUUAACUUUAAUAAUCUUUUAUUUUCACUCAUUCUUCAAAAAACUUAGGACAUUGUGAUCAUUCACUUCUUAAUUUUAAUUUUAAUUUUUUUAAUAUUUUUAUAUCAAUAUUAUGUCUUUUUGUAGAGUUUUAAAUAAAUUUUAAUAUAUUUAAAUAAUUUUAGUGUAUAUAUUAUUUAAUAAAAUCUAAAAAAAAAAUGUAAAAGAAAUCAGACAUUGGCUAAUAAGACGAAUAAAGGAGCUGGGAAGGAUCUUCACAUGCUGAUUCACCACACCCGAAACUGCACUGACGGUGUGGUGUUCCUGGGUGCGGUUUCGUCCAGCUCAGCACACCGCAUGAUGCGGUUCUUAGUACACCGACACACCAUGCAUGAAUGACUAGCAGCAGUGGCACCAAAAAAAAUCUCAAUCAAUUAUAAUAACAUAAAAUUUUAAAAAUUACAAGUGCAUUAAAUAUAACCAAUUAGUAGUUAAAGAACUUACAUUUUAAAUUUGACAUCUAUGUGUACAUAUUUUUUUAAAGCGAUCAAUUACAUCUUCGAUCUUAACUUUCAUAAAGGCAUCUUUUUCAGCAUCACAAAUCAAGGCAUUGUUCAAAAAAAUCAUCACAUUUUAUUAGGCAAAUCCGUCUUCAAUAACUUCAUCGAGGAAAAACGUAUUUCUAGUGUUGCGGUCGCGACGGGUAAAACUAAAAUCAAUUUUAAUGACCUAUAAAACCAUAGGAUAAGAACGACGUUUUUUCAUUUCCACCAUUAAAUGAGAAAGGCCGAUAAUUCCCUUCAAGCUAGCGUACUAGUCAUCUUUAUGCAAAGAGUAAUAACAUAUCUCAAACCAUCAAAUUGCAUCCUCUGGGAAUCAUUGAAAUUAUUUUUGUACAACUCACUCAACCUCAAAACUUUGUUUUGUCAAAUUUAGCAAAUAAAUCACAUGGACUCGAAGUCCCCAUCUAUUGGGUGUUUAUUUCACUAAAUCGGUCUCGUAUUCUAAUUAGAUGUUUAUUUCACUAAAUUGGUACCCGAAUUCUAUAAUUUGCAUAUCCACAAUAGUAACUUCAAAAUGAAAUUAUAGUAUUUUUGGUCUUACAGCUUCUCAUAGUGUAAUUUGCAUAACCACAAUGAUGUUCAACUUCAAAAUGAAAUUAUAUUAAUUUUGGUCCUACGGCUUUUCGGAGUGACAUGAUUUCCGAUCACAUCCACAAUAUUCAUAUUAUGUUUUUGACAAAAAGAGAAUACUUUCGACGGAGUUUUAUCAAACCUCAUGUUUCUUAAAGAUUUCAAUACAUUCAUCGUCUCUCUAACCAAAGAAGUCACUUCUAAAAUGUCUUGAUUUUUUUUUAAGAUGCUUUGACAAUACUUCGUUUGGUGUAAAACUUCAUAUAUCAAAUGUAAAUAAAACACGAAAUCAAGUGUUUUGAAAUAUAUUAAGAUAUUGUAUGCUUGAUUUCAGUUAUUUAAAGUGGAUCACUCAUCUUCAACAUAAAAAAUAACUUCCGCAAAUAAGUUCAUCAAACGUUUGAUUGUUUUGCAAUGUGAACCCAAUCUUGUAUAUCCCACUCAAAUAAGAGAAAUCUAUCGAUAUAACUCUCUUCCGAUUUCAAGUUCACCGUUAUCAAUUUCAUUUUGCACCUGUAACUCUCCUCCUGUAACAUGUCUUUUCUUUUACAUGAACCACAUACCACAUUAACCGGCAAAGAAAUUUUCUUAAAGAAGUCUUCAACACCAUCGUGGUUUUGUGCUACACCCAUAAUAACUGACUAAACUUUGUGUGCAAAGCAAUGUAGAUAAUGUGUUGAAUCAUUAUCUUGUAAUAUCAAAACUUUCAAAUUGUUGAAUGAACCUCGUAUAUUAGUUCCCUAUCAUAUUUUCCUCUUGAUGGUUAUUAUAACAUUUGAAUGUGUUUCAUAUGGAUUGAGCUUCAAUUAUCGGUGACGUCAGUAUUUACGUGAAGGAGCUUCUAUAAGAAUCAAUGAUUUUCAUAACGAACUAGAGGCAACAACAUAGUGGUCUUUAAUUCAAAAUUCAUCAAGCUUUCAUCCAUUGACACCCACACGUCAGUGUUUCCUCGACAUGUGAAAGAAUGAUUGUGUAUGAGCAUUGCUCCUAUCCCUAAAAACCACCCCGCAAAGGUGGAGGUACGCAAGAAAGAAAGGAUGAGUGUUAACAUCUACAUGUUGCGUGGUGUCAACCAGGGAUGUUGCGAUCGACAUUGAGGGCUUCAGAUAAACUUGGGAUGAAUAUUUAGCAACCACUAAUAAGUUGUUUAGAUAGGUUUUCUUUGGAUGUAUUUCGAGCCAUCAAUUUCAUUUUGUAGAAACCACAUGUUGAAUGCUUCCAUGAAGGUCUCGAAGGAGACUACAAAGUGCAACGGUGGAGAGACAAUUUAAGUCGAUUAAAAAGGAAUUAUUUACCAUGCCAUCAAA
This is a long non-coding RNA of Lactuca sativa (garden lettuce), 4301 nucleotides long. RefSeq lists it as uncharacterized. The record is from RefSeq and is a predicted model, not a curated record. Lineage: Eukaryota; Viridiplantae; Streptophyta; Magnoliopsida; Asterales; Asteraceae.